GACGAACGCUGGCGGCGUGCUUAACACAUGCAAGUCGAACGGAAAGGCCUGCUUUCCCUUGUGGAUUGCGGGUACUCGAGUGGCGAACGGGUGAGUAACACGUGUGUGAUCUGCCCCCAACUUGGGCAUAAGCCUGGGAAACUGGGUCUAAUUCCCGAUAGGACUGCAGGGUGGUGCCUGUGGUGGAAAACGAUUUUCUAGUGGUUGGGGAUGAGCUCGCGGCCUAUCAGCUUGUUGGUGGGGUAAUGGCCUACCAAGGCGGCGACGGGUAGCCGGCCUGAGAGGGUGGACGGCCACAUUGGGACUGAGAUACGGCCCAGACUCCUACGGGAGGCAGCAGUGGGGAAUAUUGCACAAUGGGCGGAAGCCUGAUGCAGCGACGCCGCGUGGGGGAUGACGGCCUUCGGGUUGUAAACUCCUUUCGACCGCGAGGAAGCCACCUGGUUGGAAGGGUGGUGACGGUAGUGGUAGAAGAAGCACCGGCUAACUACGUG
RNAcentral lists this ribosomal RNA (494 nucleotides) under uncultured bacterium. RNAcentral describes it as "partial 16S ribosomal RNA". It matches the Rfam family "Bacterial small subunit ribosomal RNA", at positions 28 to 507 of the family's 1533-position model. The record is from RNAcentral.